UACGUAGGAGACGAGCGUUGUCCGGAAUUACUGGGCGUAAAGCGCGUGUAGGCGGAUGGGCAAGUCUGCUGUGAAAGCUCCUGGCUUAACCGGGAGUGGUCGGUGGAAACUGCCAAUCUGGAGGACGGUAGAGGUAGGUAGAAUUCCCGGUGUAGUGGUGAAAUGCGUAGAGAUCGGGAGGAAUACCUGUGGCGAAGGCGGCCUACUGGGCCGGACCUGACGCUGAGACGCGAAGGCGUGGGAGCGAACGGG
This 252-nucleotide ribosomal RNA is filed under the name uncultured bacterium. RNAcentral describes it as "partial 16S ribosomal RNA". It matches the Rfam family "Bacterial small subunit ribosomal RNA", at positions 524 to 776 of the family's 1533-position model. The record is from RNAcentral.